This 530-nucleotide ribosomal RNA is filed under the name uncultured bacterium. RNAcentral describes it as "partial 16S ribosomal RNA". It matches the Rfam family "Bacterial small subunit ribosomal RNA", at positions 355 to 878 of the family's 1533-position model. The record is from RNAcentral.
UGGGGAAUUUUGGACAAUGGGGGAAACCCUGAUCCAGCCAUCCCGCGUGUGCGAUGAAGGCCUUCGGGUUGUAAAGCACUUUUGGCAGGAAAGAAACGUCGCGGGUUAAUACCCCGCGAAACUGACGGUACCUGCAGAAUAAGCACCGGCUAACUACGUGCCAGCAGCCGCGGUAAUACGUAGGGUGCAAGCGUUAAUCGGAAUUACUGGGCGUAAAGCGUGCGCAGGCGGUUCGGAAAGAAAGAUGUGAAAUCCCAGAGCUUAACUUUGGAACUGCAUUUUUAACUACCGGGCUAGAGUGUGUCAGAGGGAGGUGGAAUUCCGCGUGUAGCAGUGAAAUGCGUAGAUAUGCGGAGGAACACCGAUGGCGAAGGCAGCCUCCUGGGAUAACACUGACGCUCAUGCACGAAAGCGUGGGGAGCAAACAGGAUUAGAUACCCUGGUAGUCCACGCCCUAAACGAUGUCAACUAGCUGUUGGGGCCUUCGGGCCUUGGUAGCGCAGCUAACGCGUGAAGUUGACCGCCUGGGG